This 407-nucleotide ribosomal RNA is filed under the name uncultured bacterium. RNAcentral describes it as "partial 16S ribosomal RNA". It matches the Rfam family "Bacterial small subunit ribosomal RNA", at positions 30 to 526 of the family's 1533-position model. The record is from RNAcentral.
AUUGAACGCUAGCGGGAUGCCUUACACAUGCAAGUCGAACGGCGUUGCGAACGGGUGAGUACUGUAUCUGAACUUGCCCAGUAUCGGGGGAUAACUACGCGAAAGCGUAGCUAAUACCGCAUACUCUUUGCGCGGCCGCUAUCGGAUUAGCUAGUUGGUGGGGUAACGGCUCACCAAGGCGACGAUCCGUCGCUGGUUUGAGAGGACGACCAGCCACACUGGGACGGAGACACGGCCCAGACUCCUACGGGAGGCAGCAGUGGGGAAUUUUGGACAAUGGGGGAAACCCUGAUCCAGCCAUCCCGCGUGUGCGAUGAAGGCCUUCGGGUUGUAAAGCACUUUUGGCAGGAAAGCGGUACCUGCAGAAUAAGCACCGGCUAACUACGUGCCAGCAGCCGCGGUAAUAC